GACGUAGGGCGCGAGCGUUGUCCGGAUUUAUUGGGCGUAAAGAGCUCGUAGGCGGCUUGUCGCGUCGACUGUGAAAACCCGUGGCUCAACUGCGGGCCUGCAGCCGAUACGGGCAGGCUAGAGUUCGGUAGGGGAGACUGGAAUUCCUGGUGUAGCGGUGAAAUGCGCAGAUAUCAGGAAGAACACCCGUGGCGAAGGCGGCUCUCUGGGACGUGACUGACGCUGAGACGCGAAAGCGUGGGGAGCGAACAGG
Molecule: ribosomal RNA, 253 nt
Filed under: uncultured prokaryote
Description: partial 16S ribosomal RNA
Rfam family: Bacterial small subunit ribosomal RNA
Source: RNAcentral